CCUACGGGUGGCAGCAGUCGAGAAUCAUUCACAAUGGGGGAAACCCUGAUGGUGCGACGCCGCGUGGGGGAAUGAAGGUCUUCGGAUUGUAAACCCCUGUCAUGUGGGAGCAAAUUAAAAAGAUAGUACCACAAGAGGAAGAGACGGCUAACUCUGUGCCAGUAGCCGCGGUAAUACAGAGGUCUCAAGCGUUGUUCGGAAUCACUGGGCGUAAAGCGUGCGUAGGCUGUUUCGUAAGUCGUGUGUGAAAGGCGCGGGCUCAACCCGCGGACGGCACAUGAUACUGCGAGACUAGAGUAAGGGAGGGGGAAGCGGAAUGCUCGGUGUAGCAGUGAAAUGCGUAGAUAUCGAGAGGAACACUCGUGGCGAAGGCGGGUUCCUGGACAUUAACUGACGCUGAGGCACGAAGGCCAGGGGAGCGAAAGGGAUUAGAUACCCGGGUAGUC
RNAcentral lists this ribosomal RNA (446 nucleotides) under uncultured bacterium. Its description in RNAcentral is "partial 16S ribosomal RNA". It matches the Rfam family "Bacterial small subunit ribosomal RNA", at positions 338 to 795 of the family's 1533-position model. The record is from RNAcentral.